This 292-nucleotide ribosomal RNA is filed under the name uncultured Bacteroidota bacterium. Its description in RNAcentral is "uncultured Bacteroidetes bacterium partial 16S ribosomal RNA". The record is from RNAcentral. Lineage: Bacteria; Pseudomonadati; Bacteroidota.
GGACUACCCGGGUAUCUAAUCCUGUUUGCUCCCCACGCUUUCGUCCCUGAGCGUCAAUCCAGGCCUAGUGAGCUGCCUUCGCUAUCGGUGUUCUAUGACAUAUCUAAGCAUUUCACCGCUACAUGUCAUAUUCCGCCCACUUCGACCGAAUUCAAGACUUACAGUAUCAAUGGCAGUUCUGCAGUUGAGCUGCAGGCUUUCACCACUGACUUAUAAAUCCGCCUGCGGACCCUUUAAACCCAAUGAUUCCGGAUAACGCUUGCACCCUCCGUAUUACCGCGGCUGCUGGCAC